ACACCUUUCUAGUCUCAGGAUGGAAUUUGGAGCCAUGAUUACUUGGAUCACCACCGCGUGAUGAUUGCGCGUUCCCAGAAGAAAGGAAGAUGACGAGAGAACGUUAAGUCCUUUACACAGAUUGUUUCUCUGUCUUCAUCCAUUUCGCAAACCCUUUCCUCUGUAUCUCAGAAGGAAGGACCUCCAGGGCCUACAUGUCUGCAGCCCGCACAGCCUCCUUUGAAUGCAUGUCUCUCCGUCUAACUGGAGCUUCUGAAUAUCUCUCAAGGUUCUGGGCUGGAGAGAUGGCUCAACAGUUAAGAGAACUGGGUGUUCUUCCAAAGAUCCUGAGUUCAAUUCCCAGCAACCACAUGUGCUUGGUGCUGUUACAGUGAAGAUAUUGCCAGGAAUUGAAUAAUUCCACUUCAAAAAGACGGAGUUGUCCUGUGUCUCGACAUCAAACCACACAUAGAAAAUGCAGGAUGGCUCCGCUCUCUGAGAAAGAUUAAUGCAGCUCUCAACCUUCAUCAGAGAACCUUCCUUUGCAUCAGACGACAGACAAUAUAUGUACUCCCAAAUGGCCAAAAUGAAGAAAAUACAUAAUGGUGGAGUGCUGGGUCCUAAAUGUAACAUCUAUAUUAGCUCUCUUCACUCCAAGACUUAGAGAACAUCACAGAGGAGGUGCCAACAUGAUUUGAAGAGACAGAGACAGUGGAGGACUUCUGUGACAUGAAGGGGAUCUUACAUUUUGAGCUUCUGGGAGUUAUUAUUGCCUACAUAAGACUUCUUCAAAAGUCUGCUGUGGAUGGGGAGAAGCUCCUGAGCUGGGUACCUCUGGGUCCUACUGGCAGUUCAUGAAUGCUGGGGCAAUUGGAAUCAUUUCUCUGGGAGUAUGGUCAUUGAUAGGGUUUUCAUAAUGUCACGGAUUGUCCUAUGUCUGUGUGCAGGGAUCUACCUUCAUCAUUCUGCAUUAAAUAUUUAAUUUUCCAUGUAAAUGCCUCUCUGGUUUUUGUGCCCUCCAUAAUUCUUUCACUACAGUCUUACAGUUUUAUUGUAGAGGUUUUUCAUUGCCUCGGUUAGAGUUGUUUCUAUCUAUUUUACUGUGAUUAAUGUUAUCACUGCUGCUGUAGAGUGUUUGUCCUUCCCCUCCCCAGAAGUGGGGACAGAACCUAUGGCUCUGAGCAUGCUAUCAUGUGCUGGCCCACCGGGUUUCACUCCACCCUCCUAUUUAUUAUUUGAUCAGGGGCAAUUGUGAAUUUAAAAAAAUGUUAGUGUGUUAGUGGUAUGUAUAUAAAAUGUUCCUUUUUACUUGUUGAUUAUGUUUCCUAUAGCUACUGAAUUUUUCCUGUUUCAAUACAUUUUAGUCAGUUUUUCUGUAUAUAAAAUCUUCCUGCAGAAGAGGAUAAUCUGACAACCCCUUUUCUAAUUGAAAUUUUAUUAAUUAUUAUUAUUAUUAUUUUAUUCCUUUCUUCUGCUGAUUUCUCUUAUAAAAUUUCCUUUUACUGUUCCGAAUAAAAGCUGCAAAUGUGGACAACUUCAUUUCUUCAGAUCUCAGAGGAUACAACCUCACCUUCUUCCAUUUCGCACACAGAAACAGUGGCUUUAUAAUAUCUAGUCCUUUACGUUGUGAGGUAGACUCCUACACAUAAUUCCUUCUGGCUUUUUUUUUUCUUCACAAAAGAAUGUUUAACUUUAAUGAAUACUUUUUCUGCACCCACUAAUGAAAUUAUUUUGAUCCUCUCCUUUGCCGCUGUAAUAUUGUUUUUCAGUUUGUACGUGUGAAUCACCCUUGUAUCUCUGGAAUAAACUCUACUUAACAAGGUGCACUAUCUUCUUUAUGUGCCCAUUAGUCAGGUUUCCAUUGUUCUGACAAAACAUCUGUGAAGAACGAGCUAAAGGAGGAUUUAUUUUUUCCCACUGUUUCAGAUCAUUGUUGGUCCAUUGCUUUUUGGCCUGAAAAAUAGGAAUGUCAUGAUUAAAAGCCGUGAUGGCAAAUCAGAGCAGCUCACUCGCCUCACGGUAUCCAAGAAGCAGAGAGAGAGAGGAAAAGGGUGAGGAGACAAGAUGCACACUUGAAGGGCACACCCUAGUGACCUACUUCUAACUAGUCCCACUUCCCAAUAUUUCUGCCACCUCAUAAAAGCACUACCAAUUAAGGACACUUCUUUCACAUAUAAGUUUUUGGGAAACAUUUGAUAUCUAAGCAUUAAUGAUGGGCCUAUUGUUGAUAUCACCUUUAACCCUCAUGUUUCUUUGUUGAAUUUUAGUCUUGAUAGCCUGUCCACUUGUGAAAAUGAACACCAAUAUCUCAGUCUCUCUAACUCCUACUGUUUUUUAAUCUAUCUUUCCCUUUAGAUCUAAUAAUGCUUUCUUUACAUGGUGUGUGUGUGUGUGUGUGUGUGUGUGUGUGUGUGUGUGUGUCUUUCUGUCUGUCUAUGUCAUGUGAAUCUUUCCUGGAAUAGUGCAAUGAUGCAAAUAAGUAUUUAUUCAUCCCAUAUAAGGCUUAGCAAUAGACCAAAGUGCAAUUCCACUAAAGACUAACUUGGAAAACCAGCGAGUUUAUGGGCUUAGGUACAGACCAUGAGUAACCUCAAGUGAGGCGCACCAAUAGUGAACCUCAGACAAUAGUGAACCAACAGUGAACCUCAGAAAGUGUGAAUAGUGAACCAAUAGUGAACCUCCGACAGUGUGAAUAGUGAACCAAUAGUGAACCUCAGACAGUGUGAAUGAUAACCUUUUCAUAGAAACACCCAUGAGUCCCCUUUCCUCUUAACUCUACACUCCGUAUACUCUCACACCAUCCAAGCAUACAGGACUACAAGCAGCUGGAACAGAUGCCAGUGGUGAGGGACGAAGUGGCUUAGACCACAGGUGAAUAUCUGCUUAGUCUUCUCCAUUCUUCCUUUUAAGACGAUAUCAACAGGUCCAAUCUUGAGAGUAUCUUAGUGGUGACCACAGCUGCUUCUGAUGAAGAUAGUAAUGGCUGCUAUGCUCAGAGGUCAACUUUCUACUACAGCUUAUAAUGGUUAUUUCUUUGUAGUCAGUUGCUCCCUCUAACUUUAUAUAGUGACCUCCUUUGUCUUGUGUCACUUGGUCCUACUUGACACACAAAGUUAAUAUAAAUUAUGAGAAACAUGAAGGCCUAUUCUAUUCUUGUGGUUAUAAUUAAACAGUUUUGAAAGGUUAACAACAAAGAAUGAAAACCAGACAGAUGUGAGGGCCCCAGACAGUGAUGAGUUAACAAUAUGGUCUCAAAAUCUAAAGUCAAAAUUUCCUGGACAUAAAGAAAAAGGGACAGAACUACCAUCUGAUUGGGGUGUUUUAAAAGUUAUCUUCCAAAAAUAUAGAUGAAAGCAUUCAAAAAAAUAAAUCUGGAAGGGAUUUGAACAGCACUAAGCAUAUAUAGAAUAGUAACCAUAAAAAAAUUCACAAGGAAGUGGCACAAAGUUCCACCCUGAGGAAGAAGAUAUUUGAUAUAUAUGCAUGCAUGCUGGGAGAGGCAAAACCAGUUUCCGUUAGUGACGAGACACUGGUUAUAGCAACCGUUCUCCCAAAAGAGACCUCCCAUGCUCAGGAAAAGUUGGGCCAACACAAUUUUGUUGUUGUUGUUUUUCUCAAAGAGAGAAAGAAUAUGGAGUUGAGUGAGUUGCAAGGAGAUCUUGAAGGUGUUGGAGGUGGGGAAAGAAUAUAAUCAAAAUAUAUUCUAUGGAAAUGUUAAAUAUAGUAAUGUUAAAAUGU
Molecule: long non-coding RNA, 3717 nt
Filed under: Mus musculus (house mouse)
Lineage: Eukaryota; Metazoa; Chordata; Mammalia; Rodentia; Muridae
Description: RIKEN cDNA D130009I18 gene
Source: RNAcentral